RNAcentral lists this unclassified non-coding RNA (420 nucleotides) under Acacia caesiella. RNAcentral's name for it is "partial contains external transcribed spacer and 18S ribosomal RNA". Lineage: Eukaryota; Viridiplantae; Streptophyta; Magnoliopsida; Fabales; Fabaceae. The record is from RNAcentral.
GUGGUGUUUGGAUCGUCCCUGCUGGGUAGCUCCGUGCCUGUCAGCCGAACGAUCGGCAGGCGAUCCGCGUCGAUUGCGCGAGGUGGUAUGGUUCCCCAGAGGCCGGUUCUUGUGCUGCCUACCCCUUCAGGGGAAGCGGGCUACUUGAUGUAAGCCUCCAUCCGGCGCCCUCCAACGGGCGCAGGAGGAAAAGGGAGCAUCCCCCACAUUCCACCGAGCCUCCUCGGUUGCGUGGCCCGUGGGGACGUGCGAUGCUCUCGGACCCAGCGAACAUCAUGGGCGAGGACUCAUGUCCCGGUCCCAAGAGAAGCUUCGAUAUAAUGCAUGACGGCCGCUCCUGCCCCCCAAUUGCCCUGGCGGCGUGAGCGCGAGGCGCGCGUCUGCGGAGGAAUGCUACCUGGUUGAUCCUGCCAGUAGUCA